AGGACGAACGCUGGCGGCGUGCCUAAUACAUGCAAGUCGAACGGUCUUUCUAUGGAAGCUUGCUUCCACUGAGAAGAUAGUGGCGAACGGGUGAGUAACACGUGGGUAACCUGCCCAUAAGAGGGGGGAUAACAUCCGGAAACGGGUGCUAAUACCGCAUAGUUUUCUUGGUCGCAUGAUCGGGAAAGGAAAGACGGCCUUUGUGCUGUCGCUUAUGGAUGGACCCGCGGCGUAUUAGUUAGUUGGUGAGGUAACGGCUCACCAAGACGAUGAUACGUAGCCGACCUGAGAGGGUGAUCGGCCACAUUGGGACUGAGACACGGCCCAAACUCCUACGGGAGGCAGCAGUAGGGAAUCUUCCGCAAUGGACGAAAGUCUGACGGAGCAACGCCGCGUGAGUGAAGAAAAGGUUUUCGGAUCGUAAAACUCUGUUGUCAGAGAAGAACAAGUUGGAGAGUAACUGCUCCAGCCUUGACGGUAUCUGACCAGAAAGCCACGGCUAACUACGUGCCAGCAGCGGC
RNAcentral lists this ribosomal RNA (521 nucleotides) under uncultured bacterium. Its description in RNAcentral is "bacterial SSU rRNA". It matches the Rfam family "Bacterial small subunit ribosomal RNA", at positions 26 to 518 of the family's 1533-position model. The record is from RNAcentral.